CUACGGGAGGCAGCAGUGGGGAAUAUUGGACAAUGGGGGAAACCCUGAUCCAGCAAUGCAGCGUGUGUGAAGAAGGCCUGCGGGUUGUAAAGCACUUUCGGUUGGGAGGACUGCUUCUAGAACUAAUAUUGUUGGAAGUUGACGUUACCUUCAGAAGAAGCACCGGCUAACUCCGUGCCAGCAGCCGAGGUAAUACGGAGGGUGCAAGCGUUAAUCGGAAUUACUGGGCGUAAAGCGCGCGUAGGCGGCUAGAUCAGUCGGGUGUGAAAGCCCCGGGCUUAACCUGGGAACUGCAUCCGAUACUGUCUAGCUUGAGUACAGGAGAGGAGAGUGGAAUUCCACAUGUAGCGGUGAAAUGCGUAGAUAUGUGGAGGAACACCAAUGGCGAAGGCAGCUCUCUGGCCUGAUACUGACGCUGAGGUGCGAAAGCGUGGGGAGCAAACAGGAUUAGAUACCCCCGUAGUC
This 465-nucleotide ribosomal RNA is filed under the name uncultured bacterium. Its description in RNAcentral is "partial 16S ribosomal RNA". It matches the Rfam family "Bacterial small subunit ribosomal RNA", at positions 339 to 795 of the family's 1533-position model. The record is from RNAcentral.